CCGGCACCUGGCGAGGCGUCUCGCAGGGUCGGAGUCGACUCCCGACACUGCGGAGUCGACUCUCUCAGAGGCGGCAGAAAGGCCGAUUUCAAGGGAUGCGCGCGAGUCGUCUCCACAGGACGCGAAGUCAUCCCCGCGAGUAAAAAGCAGUCUUCCCGAGUCGUCCCCAGAGAGCGCGGAGUCGACUCUCUCAGGGUAUUCCAGAGGACAUGUUGUU
Molecule: long non-coding RNA, 217 nt
Filed under: Phoenix dactylifera (date palm)
Lineage: Eukaryota; Viridiplantae; Streptophyta; Magnoliopsida; Arecales; Arecaceae
Description: long non-coding RNA (PDAC_LNC000839)
Source: RNAcentral